CGGGAGGCAGCAGGGAGGAAUAUUGGGCAAUGGGCGCAAGCCUGACCCAGCCACGCCGCGUGAAGGAUGAAGGCGCUAUGCGUUGUAAACUUCUUUUAUACGGGAAGAAAUCCCUGCUUGCGAGCGGGGUUGACGGUACUGUAUGAAUAAGCAUCGGCUAACUCCGUGCCAGCAGCCGCGGUAAUACGGAGGAUGCAAGCGUUAUCCGGAUUCAUUGGGUUUAAAGGGUGCGUAGGCGGGGCGAUAAGUCAGUGGUGAAAUCCUGCGGCUCAACCGUAGAACUGCCAUUGAAACUGCCGUCCUUGAGUACAGUUGAGGUGGGCGGAAUGUGUCGUGUAGCGGUGAAAUGCUUAGAUAUGACACAGAACGCCGAUUGCGAAGGCAGCUCACUAAAUUGUAACUGACGCUGAGGCACGAAAGCGUGGGGAUCAAACAGGAUUAGAUACCCUGGUAGUCCACGCUGUAAACGAUGAUAACUCGUUGUUAGCGAUACACAGUUAGCGACUGAGCGAAAGCAUUAAGUUAUCCACCUGGGGAAUACGGCCGCAAGGUUGAAACUCAAAUGAAUUGACCGG
This 575-nucleotide ribosomal RNA is filed under the name uncultured bacterium. RNAcentral describes it as "bacterial SSU rRNA". It matches the Rfam family "Bacterial small subunit ribosomal RNA", at positions 342 to 917 of the family's 1533-position model. The record is from RNAcentral.